CCUAGUGCCUGCUGAAAGAACGCAGCUCUGCUGACACCUUGGUUUUGACCUGGUGAGACCCAUUUUGGACUUUUCACGUCUAAAACCGUUUAAAGGAGAAAGUCUACAGUUCCAGUUAGCCUACUUUUGUAACAGGACCUGACGGCUCGACUCUUUGAAUCCUGAAAGACUAUAGGAAAAGCUAGCCCAAGUGACUGAGCUGGGGGUCCCAGUCAUCGGUAGCAUGGAAAAGCGUGCUCUAGACAGCGAGUGGAGAAUAUUCAAGUAUGUCUUUGUCCCUGACAGUAUGCUCUCAUCUCUUUUGUAAGAGUAUACAAUUUAAAUUUCUAAAAAUUCAUUACAAUAAAAAGCAAAACAAUCCCUCAUAGGUUUAUAAUUAAACUAAUGCACCAUUUACAAAGGGUUUGAAAUAAAUGCAAAUACCUAGGUACAA
Molecule: long non-coding RNA, 433 nt
Organism: Cebus imitator (Panamanian white-faced capuchin)
Lineage: Eukaryota; Metazoa; Chordata; Mammalia; Primates; Cebidae
Exons: 3
Source: RefSeq, a predicted model, not a curated record